Non-coding RNA from Sus scrofa (pig), 1314 nucleotides. The record is from RefSeq and is a predicted model, not a curated record. NCBI's taxonomy places the organism in Eukaryota, Metazoa, Chordata, Mammalia, Artiodactyla, Suidae.
GGAAACCUGGCAUUCCCCUCAUCUGUGAAUUUAAAGAUUUUUUAAAAAUUUCGAAUUGCUUAGGGGUAAGGACAAAGAAUAUGUUAUCUCCAGACCCAUUUUUACCUACAGAUAACUUUUGCAGAUGGUAUAACUCUUCUCCGUUGUCCCUGCCCACUUCUUCCUGGCUCAGACUGUGACUGGCAUGCAGGCUAGGCGUCCCUGUGGUUUCCUGCUCUUGCUGUUGGAGUGACCAGCAAGUGACAGAAGAGGGCUGGAGACCCCUCACAUUGCUGGAAAUACCGGAUGGAGAAUCAGCCCACAAGUAGACACCUGCCCAGAGUAUUGUGCUGUUGUUAUGUCAGGAAUAAGGAAACAUGAAUGACCUUUUCAGGAAUUGCUUAUUCAUCUUUCAAGACCAUAGACUAAUUUUAAGAGCAUGGAUAUAAAAAACUGAAUCAGAAGAAGAAACAAAUUUAUUUAUUCACAUGUUUACAGUCUGUGUUCCUAACAGUGUAAGCACCCACCCCCCACCCCCGCAAGAAAACCAAAUCUCUAUUAACUGUGUUUUAAAUCUUGGGUGAGGCUUGGAACACAGAGCCUUCUGAUGCUCUUCUGUGAGUGACAGGUGAGGCGUUUCUGCCGAGUGUUUAAAAACACACAUCCACACAAUAAAAAUAGCAAGAAUUAGCCCAGAGCCUGGCAGAUUCCCUGGGUGAAUAAACAAGCCCUCAAUAUUUGGAUCUGAAGACCUUUCAGGAUGGGCUGUUUACCAUGGCUGCCCAGGAAUAAUUCCAGGAACGAAAUGAACUUUGGCACAGAGUGUACAGAAAAGUACCACCUGCUCCUCUUCCCCAGCCCAAAGCCCCAAACCACUCCACGUUCACCAAGUUAGAUGUACAGUAAAUAUUUAUUAUCUAGCAAUCAUUUUAGAACUUUUUCUUGUGUAACUCAGGAAUAUUUAUAUUCUGAAUUACUGGUUUGUCUUACAAGUCGAACACUCUCCCUUCAACCCAAAUAUAGAGAAAGGGGACCCUCUCUCAAUUACAGAAAAAGAGAAGGCAUUACUGAGCAUCUGUGUGACAAUGACCUCAUGAGAAAAGGUCUUGCUACAGCCUCUACUAAAAUAUAAUUUUAAAGUGUUAUGUGCUUACUCUGGUUUUUCUAAACAAGGUGAACUUUAAUGCCAAUCUAUUCCUUCUCUUUUCCAUCAUGGGUGAGAGAGUGUCUUCAUGACCACUGCACCACUGUUAAGAUGACUGGGUUAGAGAUGAUCUCUAACAGAAAAGAUUUAAACUUGAAACGUGGGCACGCACGCGCGCAUACACACACACA